RNAcentral lists this transfer RNA (85 nucleotides) under Rhipicephalus microplus (southern cattle tick). RNAcentral's name for it is "tRNA-Ser". It matches the Rfam family "tRNA". Rfam says of the family: Transfer RNA (tRNA) molecules are approximately 80 nucleotides in length. Their secondary structure includes four short double-helical elements and three loops (D, anti-codon, and T loops). The record is from RNAcentral. Lineage: Eukaryota; Metazoa; Arthropoda; Arachnida; Ixodida; Ixodidae.
GCCACAGUCGUGGCCGAGUGGUUAAGGUGAUGGUCUUGAAAACGAUUGGGUUCCUUACGCGCAGGUUUGAACCCUGCCGACGGCG